This is a long non-coding RNA of Cucurbita moschata (crookneck pumpkin), 525 nucleotides long. RefSeq lists it as uncharacterized. The record is from RefSeq and is a predicted model, not a curated record. The transcript is spliced from 2 exons. NCBI's taxonomy places the organism in Eukaryota, Viridiplantae, Streptophyta, Magnoliopsida, Cucurbitales, Cucurbitaceae.
CUUCUUCUUUAAUUAAUAUUCCAACCUCCUUCCUUGUUGGGUUGUUUGAGACUUUAAUGCUUCUUCGUUAAUGCACUCACUCACCCAUUUGGAUCUUCCCUUUGCCUUCUUAAACAUUUCCUCUGUUUCUCUCACUUUGAAUCUCUCUCUCUCUAUCUCUCUCUCUCUAGAAAAAGGAAGGCAGUGUCUCUUUGUGUUGUUACUGAGACAUUGUGGUCUUGCAGGAGACAAACUUUUCCAGGUGGAAUUCCGCUGUCUCUGUCUACUCAGAAUUCCCAUAUUCAUGGAUUUCUGCUACCAAUUUUGGUUCCACCAUUCUGCCUUGAGCUGGCAAUGCAGAGAACCAGAACAGAAUGUAAUCUACUGUUUACUUGGAGAAUUUCCUUUUUAUGGCAAAGCUGAUCUUUUUUGCCGUCCUGAUUUAUCAUUUUUCAUUGCGUCGAACGAAACAUUCUUGUUAAGAGUGUACAACUUCUUUCGAGUAGACACGUUUCAAAACUGUGAAGCUGACAACGAUACGUAACG